Molecule: ribosomal RNA, 397 nt
Filed under: uncultured bacterium
Lineage: Bacteria
Description: partial 16S ribosomal RNA
Rfam family: Bacterial small subunit ribosomal RNA
Source: RNAcentral
AUACGUAGGUGGCAAGCGUUGUCCGGAAUUAUUGGGCGUAAAGCGCGCGCAGGCGGUCCUUUAAGUCUGAUGUGAAAGCCCACGGCUCAACCGUGGAGGGUCAUUGGAAACUGGAGGACUUGAGUGCAGAAGAGGAAAGUGGAAUUCCAAGUGUAGCGGUGAAAUGCGUAGAGAUUUGGAGGAACACCAGUGGCGAAGGCGACUUUCUGGUCUGUAACUGACGCUGAGGCGCGAAAGCGUGGGGAGCAAACAGGAUUAGAUACCCUGGUAGUCCACGCCGUAAACGAUGAGUGCUAAGUGUUAGGGGGUUUCCGCCCCUUAGUGCUGCAGCUAACGCAUUAAGCACUCCGCCUGGGGAGUACGGUCGCAAGACUGAAACUCAAAUGAAUUGACGGGG